AGGCUGCAGUGAGGAAUCUUGCGCAAUGGGGGCAACCCUGAUCCAGCCAUUCCGCGUGAGUGAAGAAGGCCUUCGGGUUGUAAAGCUCUUUCAGCUGGAAAGAAACGGUGAGCUCUAACAUAGCUUGCUAAUGACGGUACCAGCAGAAGAAGCACCGGCUAACUACGUGCCAGCAGCCGCGGUAAUACGUAGGGUGCGAGCGUUAAUCGGAAUUACUGGGCGUAAAGCGUGCGCAGGCGGAUUGUUAAGCAAGAUGUGAAAUCCCCGGGCUUAACCUGGGAAUGGCAUUUUGAACUGGCAGUCUAGAGUGUGUCAGAGGGGGGUGGAAUUCCACGUGUAGCAGUGAAAUGCGUAGAGAUGUGGAGGAACACCGAUGGCGAAGGCAACCCCCUGGGAUAACACUGACGCUCAUGUACGAAAGCGUGGGUAGCAAACAGGAUUAGAUACCCUUGUAGUC
This 457-nucleotide ribosomal RNA is filed under the name uncultured Thiobacillus sp. RNAcentral's name for it is "bacterial SSU rRNA". It matches the Rfam family "Bacterial small subunit ribosomal RNA", at positions 346 to 795 of the family's 1533-position model. The record is from RNAcentral. Lineage: Bacteria; Pseudomonadati; Pseudomonadota; Betaproteobacteria; Nitrosomonadales; Thiobacillaceae.